Molecule: long non-coding RNA, 745 nt
Filed under: Ursus maritimus (polar bear)
Lineage: Eukaryota; Metazoa; Chordata; Mammalia; Carnivora; Ursidae
Description: lncRNA (ENSUMAG00000005543.1)
Source: RNAcentral
CCCACAUCCGGUGUUGGCGAAACCGUAGGAGCCCGGAGGAGCCCCGGAAAGCCGGCUUGUUCCCCGGCUCCCGGAGAGAGAACUGACACUAGAUUGCUUUCUUCGCGACAACAGUUUCCCUAGUUUAGCGGACCCCCACUGCCUAAAUCAGACUGAGUGCCAGGAGCUGAAUUUACCUACUCUCGUUCCUCUCCAGGGUCCCACUACUUGGGAGAUACUCUCAAACUCCACAUACUGAAAGCCACCGACCUUAAUCCGGAUUGAUGAAACCGUAAUGAAGAACACCCCCUAAAGUCCCAUAAUCGGUGCGGAUUCCUAUGGGGAAGGCCCAUGUUGUUGACAUCUUGCAGGCCUUGGUUCUGGACCUUGAGAAGGAGGCGGUGGAACUAGUGAUAGCGAUGCUUUUUAGGAUUUGGGGAUAUUCCCUGCCCAAAAAUUUCCUGGAAAAUUGACUAGUAUUAAGUGUGAGUAAAAGGUGUCCACUUUUUUUUAAGUUUUGAUUUUAGUUUUGUCUUGGAUAGUAUUUGGCAAGAUUUAGCCUAGAAAUUAUGUAGUAUUUAUUACAUGAGAAUCAAAAUUGCUUUGUUACGGGGCUGGUUUCAAAAUUUAGAACUCAUUUCUAUGUAUCAAAAUCGUUUUUUGUUUUUGUUUUUUGGGUUUUUUGUUUUUUUUGGUUUUUCUUUUUUUUAAUUCUUAAAUGGUAAAUGUACCAUUGUGAAAUGAAAUUUCAACUCCGAAAGUUUAC